This is a non-coding RNA of Acanthosepion pharaonis, 113 nucleotides long. Lineage: Eukaryota; Metazoa; Mollusca; Cephalopoda; Sepiida; Sepiidae. The record is from the annotation of a GenBank genome assembly.
UAUGGCCACAUCACAUUCAAACACCAGUUCCCAUAAGAUCACUGUAGUUAAUCAAUAUUGAGCCUGGUCAGUAAUUAGAUGGGUGACCACUUAGGAAUAACAGGUGCUGUAAU